GGCUAGAGUUUGAUCAUGGCUCAGGAUGAACGCUGGCGGCGUGCCUAACACAUGCAAGUCGAGCGAAGCGGUUUCGAUGAAGUUUUCGGAUGGAUUUGAAAUUGACUGAGCGGCGGACGGGUGAGUAACGCGUGGGUAACCUGCCUCAUACAGGGGGAUAACAGUUAGAAAUGACUGCUAAUACCGCAUAAGCGCACAGGACUGCAUGGUCCAGUGUGAAAAACUCCGGUGGUAUGAGAUGGACCCGCGUCUGAUUAGCUAGUUGGUGGGGUAACGGCCUACCAAGGCGACGAUCAGUAGCCGACCUGAGAGGGUGACCGGCCACAUUGGGACUGAGACACGGCCCAAACUCCUACGGGAGGCAGCAGUGGGGAAUAUUGCACAAUGGGGGAAACCCUGAUGCAGCGACGCCGCGUGAGUGAAGAAGUAUUUCGGUAUGUAAAGCUCUAUCAGCAGGGAAGAAAAUGACGGUACCUGACUAAGAAGCCCCGGCUAACUACGUGCCAGCAGCCGCGGUAAUACGUAGGGGGCAAGCGUUAUCAGGAUUUACUGGGUGUAAAGGGAGCGUAGACGGCGCGGCAAGUCUGAAGUGAAAGCCCGGGGCUUAACUCCGGGACUGCUUUGGAAACUGCCAUGCUGGAGUGCUGGAGAGGUAAGUGGAAUUCCUAGUGUAGCGGUGAAAUGCGUAGAUAUUAGGAGGAACACCAGUGGCGAAGGCGGCUUACUGGACAGUAACUGACGUUGAGGCUCGAAGGCGUGGGGAGCAAACAGGAUUAGAUACCCUGGUAGUCCACGCGGUAAACGAUGAAUACUANGUGUCGGGGAGCAAAGCUUUCGGUGCCGGCGCAAAACGCAUAAGUAUUCCACCUGGGGAG
This 875-nucleotide ribosomal RNA is filed under the name uncultured bacterium. RNAcentral describes it as "bacterial SSU rRNA". It matches the Rfam family "Bacterial small subunit ribosomal RNA", at positions 1 to 880 of the family's 1533-position model. The record is from RNAcentral.